Molecule: non-coding RNA, 45 nt
Filed under: Schistosoma margrebowiei
Lineage: Eukaryota; Metazoa; Platyhelminthes; Trematoda; Strigeidida; Schistosomatidae
Source: RNAcentral
AUCCAUCUGACGAGUCCUAAAUAGAACGAAAAAGGUGCCUUGGAU